RNAcentral lists this transfer RNA (72 nucleotides) under Actinopolyspora saharensis. Its description in RNAcentral is "tRNA_Gly_TCC". It matches the Rfam family "tRNA". From Rfam's summary of the family: Transfer RNA (tRNA) molecules are approximately 80 nucleotides in length. Their secondary structure includes four short double-helical elements and three loops (D, anti-codon, and T loops). RNAcentral also lists the same sequence under 4 other names. The record is from RNAcentral. Lineage: Bacteria; Bacillati; Actinomycetota; Actinomycetes; Actinopolysporales; Actinopolysporaceae.
GCGGGUGUAGCUCAAUGGUCAGAGCCCCAGCCUUCCAAGCUGGUUAUGCGGGUUCGAUUCCCGUCACCCGCU